CUAGAUAGUAAUUACAAGACAAAAGCCCAAAAUACUACCGGGAACAAAUAAUCCGCCCGCCACCGGUCAGCGGAGGAUGGAGCCUAUAGAUUUCCCGGCUCCAUUUCCGUAGAUUGAAAAGUCCAUGUAUAAGGAUGUUAAAUGGGAAGAGUUCAGCCGUUGAUUCGCCAGGAAUCGGUUCACUCAACCAAAGUGUAUGUCACUCGGCUCGUACACAAGCCGACGAAAGCGCAAGCCAACUUGGAAGAUGGCACGAUAAAUUUGCUGCUUCUCACGCUAGUCGGACGAGCUGAGCCUGCUAGCCGCACUUAACAGUCCUAACUGCAGGUCAUUUGCCUAUCACCUGACUUCGAUUUCUCUUCGUGAAAAUGUCUCCUCGCAGAAUUCUAGCGUUCCAAUAAAUCCUUAUUUUCCUUUUCACUUCAGUAAAGCCCUAUUUACAUUUUGAUUCAUUUAUAACCCCGCCCCCCCGGGCUAUGGACAUCGUGUAUACUGUUUUUUUAUAUUUAUGCCAUUUCUAUGUACUCUUCUGUUCUGAAUUAGUGCUGGAAGGAAUUCUAAGGAUUGUUAUGUUGCAUUGUUAUAUAAACUUGAAUAAGUACUUCCUUUGCACUGCUUAUUGUUGCUGAAAAGUCUUGUAAAUAUAUCGAUUUAUUAUUUUCGAGGGAUAGAGCGUAAAUUUUGUGGGUAAGGGACUUCAAUUUUGCACUUGCUGGUCCAUGUAUCUGGAUUAAGAAAUUUGAUUCUACCGGGGAACUAAACAAUGAUGAGUUAUAUUUGGAUUCCUUUUUCCUAUUUCAAUGAGGAAAAUAUUAAAAUCAGCUCCUUGUGUCCUAAAUUUAUCUAUAUUUCUCUUUCCCUUAAACUUGUGUAAAGGCAUAUCUGAAUUGCUCCUCUUUCGUUGGUGGUGCCUUGACAAGGUAUUGAAUCAGUUGGCAAGUGGAUUAGUAAAUUUAAGCUUGGUUACGAUUUGAUCUGUCAUAACGAAAACUCCUUGAUUCAUAUACCUGAAGGAAUAAUUUGGACAUUAUAAGGUCUUCUCGUUGUUAACUGGUUAAGUGCCCUGAUUAUCUGUGAAUAGUGAGAAGAUAGAGAAUGGUUUGGAAGAGAGAAGAGGAAUGCAUAAUGCAGUUUUAUUGUUUCUCAAGUUUCCUGUUUGGGAAAGAAAGGAAUUGAGAAGGGAGAUUUUGGAACGUUACUAUUCCUUUCUAUCUAUAGGUGAGAGCGAAAAGCUUACCACUUUUUCUAUAACUCUUCUUACUUUCAAUAGAAGAUUAGGAAAAAAGGAAGUUCAUCUUUAAACUAUCCACGUGUUUAUGAUGUAAACUUGGAAUAGUGAAAUGGACAUUAUGACUCUUCUGUCGUUUGUUUUGUGAUCCACACACAAAAAAACUGGAGAACUUAGUCCUUCCACUAGCCAUCAUUAUUUUUAUUUCAUUGUUUAUCUACCUUUUUGACCUUUAUACCUGAUGGAACAUAAAUUUGUUGUCGUCUUACAUGAGAUGACACGAAAGAAAAUUUGUGCUGUAUUUACAGAAUAUAAUUUAAUAUGCCGGUUAAUAUUAUGUUUGUUGACCUCCUUAUAGUGGCCAAGUGUUUUCAUAAUUCAUGUCUCCGGCUGCAGUCUGCUUUGGUAAGAAAGGGAUGUGUGUUGUCCCCAGGCUUCACAGUUAUCACUGUAAUUUGUUUUACAUUUAUUUCUUGUAGUGCUUGGGGCAUGAAAUUUUGAAGCAGCUAGUCUGACAGACUUAAAAAAAUAAAAUCAAAUACUGUCCUUAAUCGCUUCUUUUAGGUUCAAUUAUUUGCACAGGCUACUUUAAUUAUUCUAUACUUCAGUGAUAUAACUCUAUGUUGAACAGUUACAGUUUGUACAUGUGAAGAAUGAAUUUUGAUGUGACAAGUUCUUUGUUAGGUCCCAUUAGCUAAAGGAAAAAAGUUCUGGGCCACGAAAAGGAACUUAUAAUUGAUAAUCAGAUUAAUAUUUGCAUUAUUGGACGUGCCACUUGUACUGAAGCUGAUGAUCAUCUUGUCAAGUGGUUCAUGCUUAACUAGUUUUUUGGUCCACUUUUUAACCAUGAUUUACUGGAUGCCAAUCAAAUAUGUUACAAAUUGCCGACAUAUGCACGACAAAUAAAAUAUUUUAAAAGCUGCAACAAUUGUUAUUUUUUACUUUGCUUAUAUUAUUUUAAUUGGUUUUGACAGCUUUCGCUAACCUGAUUAUCUUCGUGCAUUCAGUUGGGAAUUUACACUAACAAGAAUUUGAAUGGUGAUUAACCACAAAUAGGACACAUGAAUUAUAUAAAAUUCUAUUCACUUAUUCCGCGUUGAAUACUUACAUCACAUGCUCUAAAUGUGGAAGUUUAAUGAACUUUCCUGCCAUCUUGUGUGGUAGCUCAAUGUGAUAACUAACUGAGAUAUUGGCUUUCCCUAUGGUUGAAAGUUGGGAUGGAAUUAUUUGGAACCCUAUGAUGAUGAGCUUCUGACUACCCAUAUAUAAUAUAACCUCAUAUUUCUUCAUAUGUUGGAUGUAAGAACUGAUUACUUUGUUUAGAGCUUUAUGUCUUCUCAAUUUGAAUUUACCUGGAAUCUUUAACCGUAUACGCUAAAUUAUUGCUAUAUGCACGGGCCUAGUAAUCUUAUUAUGUCUGGUUAUUAUCUGCAAGGAGUUUCAUAUUGAGGUUCAAUUUCCAUGCAAUUCAUAUUCUGUCCUUGCUCCAAUAAGGAGAAUAGAAUGGAAAUGGUAAAAAUGAAAAAAAUAUAGUAAUGUAGCACACAAGCAAGAUUUACUCGUCCAUUUUUGGAAAUUUUCUUGGGUUUCCCUCAAGAACUACAAUGCGAACUUCCGGUCAUGGAGUUUGAUCUUUAUAUUUGCUAUUAUGCUUGGUACUUGUCUUUUCAGUUCUAUGCUUUAAAUGAUCCAUUCAAGGUUGCUUUUUUUGCUUUUUUAUCUGGCUAGAUCUCGUCAAGGUAAUAUCUGUGAUGUUUGCUAAAUGAUCCUUUUAAGGUUGCUUUUUUUGCUUUUUAUCUGACUAGAUCUCGUCAAGGUAAUGCCUGUGAUGUUUGCUAGUGAGAAUUCUGCAUGGGAAAUUCCUACACUUACUGAGGUGACCAAGCAGCAAUGGCCGGCCUGGACACUCUCGUGCAAAUUACUCUUGCCUUGUGUGUUGUAGGGUGGAAUUGGAGUUCCUAAUUGAAAUUUGAAAAAAUGAGUUGAAAUUUGAGUAAAAUUGUAAAAGUUUCCACCUGGCAACGUUGUCCAAUGCAGCAUCAAAUUAUUUCAGCCAUGUAGGUUUCAAUGUCUUAUAUUUAUGAUAUGGCAUUGUUUUGGUUUAGCAUUUUAGUUAAAAGGGGAAAAACCGUUAAUUUGUGUAGUGAAGGUGACUCGGCCUAGUGUGGACUUGACCUGUAUGUUGAUGCACAUUCAAUGAUUCUAAUUUGUGGGGUUUGCAUCUUGGUUGGUAGACUAUACUGAAAGAGGAAUUCAAAUUGCUUGUUACCAAACACAUGUUGACUUCAUUGAUACGAACCUCAUAUUAUCCUUUUUCUAUUUUCUUGUUCAUCUUUCUUUUUGUCAAAUAUUGUGGUUAAUCCUAAUGUUAUAGGAUGAAUAAGUGAAUACCUAAGCAAGAGAUGAAUUGAAUCAAUAUUUACAAGGUAGGGCUUGAUCAGCCUGCAGACGGGCUCCUUCUACUGGCACCAUUACCUCCAUUUGCAGGCUAAACGAUAUUAAGGAAGAAAAUAAAAUUAAAGUAUGUUUAAUGUGUACCAUUAGACUUGGAUUCAGCAAAUAUUGUCCAAGUCGAUCCAGUCCACAUGCUGCAAGAAUCAAUUAGGACGGAUGGACAUAUAUCCUUUCGUUCGUUUUCCCUCCAAUGUUUAUCAUAUUAUAACCCCCUUUUAGAUGACAUAGCGAACAUGACAGCGAAAAACUCGAGAUUCGAUCAUUCAUUCGUAGGAUGCAGAUUUCUUUAGACCCAUGCGUAAUGACACUGAAAGACGAUGUGGACAUAACCUAUCAUUAUCUACUAACAGAAAUCUUUCCCAGAGUCAAAUUAAUAGACGUUAACAGCUCAUCGAUGGGCACUAGAGCAAAAGUGAAAUUUGAUUUUCGAGACAUGCAUCAAAUGUACUCUAUGUAUCGUCAAAUCGGGCCUUUAUAAUUAUCUUACCAGUCAUGGUUUUUGAUGGCUUCUAUAAAUGGUAGGUCAUGGCAGCCAAGGUUGCAUCUCUUUCAAGUAUCAUGACAAUCUAACUGACCCACC
This 4262-nucleotide long non-coding RNA is filed under the name Olea europaea subsp. europaea. Lineage: Eukaryota; Viridiplantae; Streptophyta; Magnoliopsida; Lamiales; Oleaceae. The record is from RNAcentral.